Molecule: long non-coding RNA, 973 nt
Organism: Pseudophryne corroboree (corroboree frog)
Lineage: Eukaryota; Metazoa; Chordata; Amphibia; Anura; Myobatrachidae
Exons: 3
Source: RefSeq, a predicted model, not a curated record
GGUAGGCAAGUAUGGUACAACUAUAGUACAUUUCCAUACAGUAGCAGUAAUUUAAGUUACGUGCCUCUUAAGACUUACCCAUCUUUAGUGUAUAGAUGCAUCAGGAGCCAAUAUAUCUUAAUCAUAUGCAAACUGCACCCAUCCAACCUAGAUGCAGAAUUUCUGAUUGCUAACAAACAUAUUUCAAAAGGGAUGCAGUCAGCAUCUUGGCGGUCGAGAUGCAGGCGGUCAUGUGACCGACACUGGAGUUGUGACACCACUCGGAAUCCCGGAGCCAGAACAUUGAUCACUGACAUACUGAAGAUUUGUUGUAAUCUGCUGAGGUCUGCAGGAAUGAAAUGGAGGACUGCUGAAAGAAAUGAACAUGCAUGAACAGCAGGAGUGAAUCCAGCCACAGUAAUGGAUAUAUGGGAAUGUUAAAGCAGAAAGAGUUUGGCAUAGUAAAUCUGCGCAGUUAGUGUAUGGCAAGGGCAUCCAAAAGUUUUUCUUGGAGUGCCAUAGUAAGAACAUGACUGUGGACGAGCAUCACAAGAUGUUUUUUUCAGUUUCCCUCCCAACAAUUAGAAUGAUUGACCAUAUACCGGCAUCCAUUCGUGGCGGGGACCGUGAUCGACGUUUGCUGCAGUGUGAAUCCAAAUGGAUAUUUCUUUUGGACACUGUUUCACCUAAGGGGUUAAAUGAAUCCUUAGGCUUACAGUGCUUUUUAUAAGUGUUUUGUGUUAAAUAACAGCUAAUGCUUAUAUAACCAUUUAUGAUAUUGUCAUUAUGCAUAUUAUGCAUCCUUUUGUCUUAUUUAUGUAUUUCUUUUGAUGUGUUGCACUUUCUUUGGACUUUGUAUGUUUUUUGUCAGUUUGUUUCAAUGUAUCUAAUUAGUUACCACUUACAGGUGUGAUGCCUGCUUGGUAGCCUAUUUAAAUCUGUUUUGUUCAGUUGUGUCUUUAUCUCCUGACGAAAGGGGUUCAGCCCCUGAAAC